RNAcentral lists this ribosomal RNA (253 nucleotides) under uncultured prokaryote. RNAcentral describes it as "partial 16S ribosomal RNA". It matches the Rfam family "Bacterial small subunit ribosomal RNA", at positions 524 to 776 of the family's 1533-position model. The record is from RNAcentral.
UACAGAGGGUGCGAGCGUUGUUCGGAAUUAUUGGGCGUAAAGCGCUGGUAGGUGGUUGGACAAGUCGCGUGUGAAAGCUCCCGGCUCAACCGGGAAAGUGCGCGCGAAACUGUUUGACUUGAGUGCCGGAGAGGGUCGCGGAAUUCCCGGUGUAGAGGUGAAAUUCGUAGAUAUCGGGAGGAACACCAGAGGCGAAGGCGGCGACCUGGAAGGUGACUGACACUGAGCAGCGAAAGCGUGGGGAGCAAACAGG